Molecule: ribosomal RNA, 253 nt
Filed under: uncultured bacterium
Lineage: Bacteria
Description: partial 16S ribosomal RNA
Rfam family: Bacterial small subunit ribosomal RNA
Source: RNAcentral
UACGUAGGGUGCGAGCGUUGUCCGGAAUUAUUGGGCGUAAAGAGCUCGUAGGCGGCUUGUCGCGUCGGAUGUGAAAGCUCGGGGCUUAACUCCGGGUCUGCAUUCGAUACGGGCAGGCUAGAGUUCGGUAGGGGAGAUCGGAAUUCCUGGUGUAGCGGUGAAAUGCGCAGAUAUCAGGAGGAACACCGGUGGCGAAGGCGGAUCUCUGGGCCGAUACUGACGCUGAGGAGCGAAAGCGUGGGGAGCGAACAGG